CGACGUAUGCAACCUGCCUCCAACUGGGGAAUAGCCCCUCGAAAGAGGGAUUAAUACCGCAUAACAUAAUGAGUAGGCAUCUACUUAUUAUUAAAACUACGGUGGUUGGAGAUGGGCAUGCGUGACAUUAGCUAGUUGGUGAGGUAAUGGCUCACCAAGGCUACGAUGUCUAGGGGGUCUGAGAGGAUGUCCCCCCACACUGGUACUGAGAUACGGACCAG
Molecule: ribosomal RNA, 221 nt
Filed under: uncultured bacterium
Lineage: Bacteria
Description: partial 16S ribosomal RNA
Rfam family: Bacterial small subunit ribosomal RNA
Source: RNAcentral